Molecule: long non-coding RNA, 1366 nt
Organism: Alligator sinensis (Chinese alligator)
Lineage: Eukaryota; Metazoa; Chordata; Crocodylia; Alligatoridae
Exons: 3
Source: RefSeq, a predicted model, not a curated record
CUUGAUCCAUAUCUUAUAGGAACUCUGAGGCAGAGACAGGGACAGAAUCCAGAUCCCCAAGAAUAGGUCCAUCCUGCACACUGAACAAGGCAAGAAUCCUGUGGGGGAGGAAAUAGUAUCUCAUCAUUUAAUUAAAAUCUGCCUCAUAAAGCAUGUGCAGAAGGAAGGCAAAUUAAGGCUACACAGUUCAUAGGUUUGUUGCAAGAGAGAAAACGGAACUCUAUCAUGCAGCAUCACAGAGACAUCCACAACAGGCUUGGAACCUCUAGACCCCUGACAGAGACUUUUGACAACUGGAACAAAUACUGAUGCCAGCUGCCAUUCUCUCUAAGGGCCAGAACUAAAGAGGGAUGGGACAAAUACUUUGUCAGUAAGAAAAAUACUUUCAUCUAUAUGUUUAUAGCAGAAGUUUGGUGAAACUCAGAAACUGAGGCUGCUAUUCCAGGCUUUGGAGGAGAGCGGGUUCCAAUGUGUUCAGAAUCUUCUGCCCAUUCUCUCCCCAGUCUUGACCUCUUCAGCUGGUCUGAUUCAGUCCUGCCUCUUCCCUGCCCCUGGCUUGCCUCAGUUCCAGCAUAGUCCCAAACUCCACUCAUGAGGUGUCUCAUUUCAGUCUCAGUCUUCUUGGCCAGAUAUACUUCUAAGUCAACACCUCCAAGCUGACUGCUCAAGACUCUCCUCCUUCUCACUCCUCCUCCUGAACUCAUUGCCAGCCAACUCCAACCUCUUUGUCCUCAACCACCAUCUCCCUGGCUCUUUACCAAGACAGAUUUUGUUCUUUCCAUACUCUGCCUUGUCCAAUCCAUUUCUUCACAACACCAACACCUUACAGCAUUCCAAUAACAUACUCAAUGACACUGAAAGAACCAGUCAACCCUCAAAUCUCUCCACACACACACAUACCAAAGCUGAAAAAUCAAUUUUUCUGAUGCCUCCAUCUCAAGGACUAUUUCCACAACCAAAACAAAUCCACUUUCAACAACACUUCAUCUUUUGACAACAUCAAGGAAAAGAUGAACCCCCAAAAAACAAAAAAAAAUCCCCAUCAGAUUGGACACCUCACAGUGAAUGAAAUUCAAACCUUGACCGCUAUAUUGACUGCUUCUGGGAAAGAAUGAACGAUGAAACAAUCAACCACAAACACUACCAUAACAACCGCUCCUUCUCAAAAAGAAGGGCCAUAGACUCUCUACGAUCCAACCGCCAAAUGCUAAUAAAACCAGCAGAUAAAGGAGGAGCUAUAGUUAUUCUUAACUGUGAAGACUACAUAAAAGAAGCCAACAGACAACUUUCUGAUCACUGACUACGAAAAACUAGAGGAAAAUCCAACUCCCCUUUUCACUGUAAAACUCAAAACCACCAUCAAAUA